GAUGAACGCUAGCGGCAGGCUUAACACAUGCAAGUCGGGGGGUAGAGGCUUUCGGGCCUUGAGACCGGCGCACGGGUGCGUAACGCGUAUGCAAUCUACCUUUCACAGAGGGAUAGCCCUGAGAAAUUUGGAUUAAUACCUCAUAGCAUUGGAGAAGGGCAUCCUUUUCCAAUUAAAGUCACAACGGUGAAAGAUGAGCAUGCGUCCCAUUAGCUAGUUGGUAAGGUAACGGCUUACCAAGGCUACGAUGGGUAGGGGUCCUGAGAGGGAGAUCCCCCACACUGGUACUGAGACACGGACCAGACUCCUACGGGAGGCAGCAGUGAGGAAUAUUGGUCAAUGGGCGCAAGCCUGAACCAGCCAUGCCGCGUGCAGGAUGACGGUCCUAUGGAUUGUAAACUGCUUUUGUACGGGAAGAAACACUGAUUCGUGAAUCAGCUUGACGGUACCGUAAGAAUAAGGAUCGGCUAACUCCGUGCCAGCAGCCGCGGUAA
This 494-nucleotide ribosomal RNA is filed under the name uncultured bacterium. RNAcentral describes it as "partial 16S ribosomal RNA". It matches the Rfam family "Bacterial small subunit ribosomal RNA", at positions 28 to 523 of the family's 1533-position model. The record is from RNAcentral.